Molecule: long non-coding RNA, 825 nt
Organism: Oncorhynchus gorbuscha (pink salmon)
Lineage: Eukaryota; Metazoa; Chordata; Actinopteri; Salmoniformes; Salmonidae
Exons: 2
Source: RefSeq, a predicted model, not a curated record
AUGUAUAAAAAAAAAGUAUACAUAACUAUAUGUCAGUAUGCGUGAGUGAAGUGUGUGUUGUCUGUGCAGCUGUGCGUAAGUCUAAUGCUGAGGUGGAGGCCAUGAAGAGGCAGUCUAACGGUCUGACAAAGGAGUAUGACAGACUCUUGACAAAGCACAACGAACUACAGAAUCUUCAGGCUGGAGCUGGAGACAAGAAGGAGCAAUAAGGACUAGAUCCAAAUCGUUGAUCCAGAUGACAAGUGACAAAGACAGCAGGUAGCCAGCCACAGCUGUUAUGACUUCACACGGAGACCAGCUAUUCAGCUGAGCAACUCUUCAUUCAUCUCUGACUUAUGUAUACUGUACUGUGCAUGGGAAAAGGUGCAGUUGUUCAAUGUAUCCACAUUGUAUUUGUAUUGUAACUAAGAUAGGGAGCUAAAAUUGUGUCAUGUUUGAAGAAGGAACGAGAGGAUUUUUUUGCGUCUGUAAACGUAUAGUCUUAAAUUCCUUCUCUGGAGCUCAUGUAAUGUCCUUGGUUAAUUGUUUUGCCGUUUUAAGUCAUAGUAUAUAGUACAUUAGUACUUUAAAGUAUAAUACUUGUGUCGUAUAUACUCAAAGUACAUUAUGCUAAUAUGCAGAGCUUUCGGCUUAUGAAAUGCAAAAUCCUGUUUUACAUCUGUAUCCAGUGGGCAAAAUGGGUUGAAAUAAUGUCACAGUUUACAAGCAGAACUGGUUACGUGGAGGGUAUACCCUCAGAUCAACUGUGAAUAUGUUUUUGCUGUGUACCAUGAAGUGGCAUGAUCCUCUUGUGUUCAAUGAUUAAAAUACAAACAUUUGAACAAA